GACGAACGCUGGCGGCGUGCUUAACACAUGCAAGUCGAACGGAAAGGCCCUGCUUUUGUGGGGUGCUCGAGGGGCGAACGGGUGAGUAACAGGUGAGUAACCUGCCCUUGACUUUGGGAUAACUUCAGGAAACUGGGGCUAAUACCGUAUAGGAUCUCCUGUUGCAGGGUGGGGGUGGGAAAGUCUGGGCGGUUGGGGAUGGACGCGCGGCUGUUGAGCUUGUUGGUGGGGGAGUGGCUUACCCAGGCUGUGGCGGGUAGGCGGCCUGGGAGGGUGACCGGCGACAUUGGGACUGAGGUACGGCCCAGACUCCAACGGGAGGCAGCGGUGGGAAAUAUUGCCCAAUGGGCCGAAGCCUGAUGCAGAAACGCCGCGUGCGGGAUGACGGCCUUCGGGUUGUAAACCGCUUUCGCCUGUGACGAAGCGUGAGUGACGGUAAUGGGUAAAGAAGCACCGGCUAACUACGUG
RNAcentral lists this ribosomal RNA (468 nucleotides) under uncultured bacterium. Its description in RNAcentral is "partial 16S ribosomal RNA". It matches the Rfam family "Bacterial small subunit ribosomal RNA", at positions 28 to 507 of the family's 1533-position model. The record is from RNAcentral.